RNAcentral lists this ribosomal RNA (253 nucleotides) under uncultured prokaryote. Its description in RNAcentral is "partial 16S ribosomal RNA". It matches the Rfam family "Bacterial small subunit ribosomal RNA", at positions 524 to 776 of the family's 1533-position model. The record is from RNAcentral.
UACGUAGGGGGCAAGCGUUGUCCGGAAUUAUUGGGCGUAAAGAGCUCGUAGGCGGUCCAGUAAGUCGGAUGUGAAAUCUCAGGGCUCAACCCUGAAACUGCAUCUGAUACUGCUGGACUUGAGGCAGGUAGGGGAAGGUGGAAUUCCUGGUGUAGCGGUGAAAUGCGCAGAUAUCAGGAGGAACACCGGUGGCGAAGGCGGCCUUCUGGGCCUGUUCUGACGCUGAGGAGCGAAAGCGUGGGGAGCAAACAGG